CCUGUAAUCCCAGCUACUGGGGAGGCUGAAGCGGGAAAAUCGCCUGAAUCCCGGAGGCGGGGGCUGCGGUGAGCCGAGAUUGCGCCAUUGCACUCCAGCCUGGGUAACAAGAGCGAAACUCUGUCUCAAAAAAAAA
Molecule: long non-coding RNA, 136 nt
Organism: Cebus imitator (Panamanian white-faced capuchin)
Lineage: Eukaryota; Metazoa; Chordata; Mammalia; Primates; Cebidae
Exons: 2
Source: RefSeq, a predicted model, not a curated record